AUUGAACGCUGGCGGCAGGCCUAACACAUGCAAGUCGAACGGUAACAGGAAGAUGCUUGCUUCUUUGCUGACGAGUGGCGGACGGGUGAGUAAUGUCUGGGAAACUGCCUGAUGGAGGGGGAUAACUACUGGAAACGGUAGCUAAUACCGCAUAACGUCGCAAGACCAAAGAGGGGGACCUUCGGGCCUCUUGCCAUCGGAUGUGCCCAGAUGGGAUUAGCUAGUAGGUGGGGUAACGGCUCACCUAGGCGACGAUCCCUAGCUGGUCUGAGAGGAUGACCAGCCACACUGGAACUGAGACACGGUCCAGACUCCUACGGGAGGCAGCAGUGGGGAAUAUUGCACAAUGGGCGCAAGCCUGAUGCAGCCAUGCCGCGUGUAUGAAGAAGGCCUUCGGGUUGUAAAGUACUUUCAGCGGGGAGGAAGGGAGUAAAGUUAAUACCUUUGCUCAUUGACGUUACCCGCAGAAGAAGCACCGGCUAACUCCGUG
RNAcentral lists this ribosomal RNA (490 nucleotides) under uncultured bacterium. RNAcentral's name for it is "partial 16S ribosomal RNA". It matches the Rfam family "Bacterial small subunit ribosomal RNA", at positions 30 to 507 of the family's 1533-position model. The record is from RNAcentral.